UGGGGAAUUUUGCGCAAUGGGCGAAAGCCUGACGCAGCGACGCCGCGUGUAUGAUGAAGGCCCUUGGGUUGUAAAGUACUGUCAACGGGGAAGAACGUCGGAGGGUCAAUAGCCCUUCGGCCUGACGGUACCCGUGGAGGAAGCACCGGCUAACUCUGUGCCAGCAGCCGCGGUAAUACAGAGGGUGCAAACGUUGCUCGGAAUGACUGGGCGUAAAGCGCGCGCAGGUGGCUCGGCAAGUCGGCUGUGAAAUCCCCUGGCUCAACCAGGGACGUGCGGUCGAUACUGCCGAACUCGAGUCCCGGAGAGGGUGGUAGAAUUCCCAGUGUAGAGGUGAAAUUCGUAGAUAUUGGGAGGAAUACCGGUGGCGAAGGCGACCGCCUGGACGGGUACUGACACUGAGGCGCGAAAGCGUGGGGAGCAAACAGGAUUAGAUACCCGUGUAGUCC
Molecule: ribosomal RNA, 449 nt
Filed under: uncultured prokaryote
Description: bacterial SSU rRNA
Rfam family: Bacterial small subunit ribosomal RNA
Source: RNAcentral